UACAGAGGUCUCAAGCGUUGUUCGGAUUCAUUGGGCGUAAAGGGUGCGUAGGCGGCCCUUUAAGUCUGACGGUGAAAUGCCGGGGCUCAACCCCGUGCCCGCCGCGGAUACUGGAGGGCUGGAGACACGUAGAGGCAAGCGGAAUUCCGGGUGUAGCGGUGGAAUGCGUAGAGAUCCGGAAGAACACCGGAGGCGAAGGCGGCUUGCUGGGCGUAGUCUGACGCUGAGGCGCGAAAGCGUGGGGAGCAAACGGG
RNAcentral lists this ribosomal RNA (254 nucleotides) under uncultured bacterium. Its description in RNAcentral is "partial 16S ribosomal RNA". It matches the Rfam family "Bacterial small subunit ribosomal RNA", at positions 524 to 776 of the family's 1533-position model. The record is from RNAcentral.